RNAcentral lists this ribosomal RNA (467 nucleotides) under uncultured bacterium. Its description in RNAcentral is "partial 16S ribosomal RNA". It matches the Rfam family "Bacterial small subunit ribosomal RNA", at positions 28 to 507 of the family's 1533-position model. The record is from RNAcentral.
GAUGAACGCUGGCGGCGUGCUUAACACAUGCAAGUCGAACGGAAAGGCUCCUGCUUGCAGGGGUACUCGAGUGGCGAACGGGUGAGUAACACGUGGGUGAUCUGCCCUGCACUUCGGGAUAAGCCUGGGAAACUGGGUCUAAUACCGGAUAGGACCACAUUUUGGAUGGUGUGGUGGAAAGUUUUUCGGUGUGGGAUGAGCUCGCGGCCUAUCAGCUUGUUGGUGGGGUAAUGGCCUACCAAGGCGUCGACGGGUAGCCGGCCUGAGAGGGUGUACGGCCACAUUGGGACUGGGAUACGGCCCAGACUCCUACAGGAGGCAGCAGUGGGGAAUAUUGCACAAUGGGCGCAAGCCUGAUGCAGCAACGCCGCGUGGGGGAUGACGGCCUUCGGGUUGUAAACUCCUUUCGCUAGGGACGAAGCGUUUUUGUGACGGUACCUGGAGAAGAAGCACCGGCUAACUACGUG